This 464-nucleotide ribosomal RNA is filed under the name uncultured bacterium. Its description in RNAcentral is "partial 16S ribosomal RNA". It matches the Rfam family "Bacterial small subunit ribosomal RNA", at positions 28 to 506 of the family's 1533-position model. The record is from RNAcentral.
GACGAACGCUGGCGGCGUGCUUAACACAUGCAAGUCGAACGGAAAGGCCCCUUUGGGGGUACUCGAGUGGCGAACGGGUGAGUAACACGUGAGUAACCUGCCCUUGACUUCGGGAUAACUUCAGGAAACUGGGGCUAAUACCGGAUAGGAAUCCUUGCUGCAUGGUGGGGGUUGGAAAGCUUCGGCGGUUUUGGAUGGACUCGCGGCUUAUCAGCUUGUUGGUGGGGUAGUGGCUUACCAAGGCUUUGACGGGUAGCCGGCCUGAGAGGGCGACCGGCCACAUUGGGACUGAGAUACGGCCCAGACCCCUACGGGGGGCAGCGGGGGGGAAUAUUGCACAGUGGGCGGAAGCCUGAGGCAGCAACGCCGGGGGCGGGAUGACGGCCUUCGGGUUUUAAACCGUUUUCAGCAGGGGGGAAGCUUGUGGUGAGGGGACCUGCAAAAGAAGCACCGGCUAACUACGU